GGGCGAAUGAUGUUUUCAACAUGCAACAACUUAUCUGAAGCUCAGUGCUGAAUUGUUGUUUCGAGCUUUUUAACUCUGAUGCCCU
RNAcentral lists this small nucleolar RNA (85 nucleotides) under Guillardia theta CCMP2712. Lineage: Eukaryota; Cryptophyceae; Pyrenomonadales; Geminigeraceae. The record is from RNAcentral.